AACUGUUUGUGUGUUGUGUUUACUUUCUCGUAUUCAUUAGAUAAAUCUAUUUGAUUGUUCGUACUUAUAAUGCCAACAUGAAACUAUUUGAUAUAGUAUUCUUUUUAAUAUUUUUAUAUAUAUUAUAUAUUUAUAUUAUAUUAUAUAUUUCUAUAUAUUUUUUUUUAUAAAUGUAUGUAGAUCAAUCAUGUCAAGAAAGAAGAAAGAUACGAAUGAUAACUCA
Molecule: long non-coding RNA, 223 nt
Filed under: Elaeis guineensis (African oil palm)
Lineage: Eukaryota; Viridiplantae; Streptophyta; Magnoliopsida; Arecales; Arecaceae
Description: long non-coding RNA (EGUI_LNC026261)
Source: RNAcentral